This 67-nucleotide transfer RNA is filed under the name Sciurus aestuans (Guianan squirrel). RNAcentral describes it as "Guerlinguetus aestuans (Guianan squirrel) tRNA-Trp". RNAcentral also lists the same sequence under 1 other name. Lineage: Eukaryota; Metazoa; Chordata; Mammalia; Rodentia; Sciuridae. The record is from RNAcentral.
AGGAAUUUAGGCUAAUAAAGACCAAGGGCCUUCAAAGCCCUAAGUAAGUAUCUAUACUUAAUUCCUG